RNAcentral lists this small RNA (318 nucleotides) under Arabidopsis thaliana (thale cress). Its description in RNAcentral is "ATSL248180". The record is from RNAcentral. Lineage: Eukaryota; Viridiplantae; Streptophyta; Magnoliopsida; Brassicales; Brassicaceae.
AAAAGAUUAUUCUUUUUAACCUAACCGCUACCGCCCGCAACCGCAAACGCUUGCGGAAAGGAGCUUUUGAAAACUGGCGAUUUCGAGCGGUUUAAAGCGAUAUCUAGCGGUUUUUAUGAUUGGUGUCAAUCGCUAACAACCGCUACCAACCGCAAACGCAGCGUUUGCGGGUGGUAGAGGGAGAACCAAUCAAGUCCUUAGUCCCUCAAUCGUCGUCGCUCAAAAUUACUGGUUUGACAACAGAUGGUUGGUUGUUAGAGCCUUUAGACGAAUGGAAUCCAAUUGCAAGGGUACAUCUGUUAAUUGGGAUCAAACUGU